UUAAUUUAUUUAGUUUUGAUUCAGAAGACACAUUUAUAGUGGAGUUUGAGAAAACUUCUGCCGGCCGAAACCGGCAAAGAAACAUGUAUAGUUAAAACAUAGGGUUGAAGUUUGGGCACUGGGUACCCGAAACCUUUAAUGAUCCUUCCGCAGGUUCACCUACGGAACGUGGAUUCUUAACUAACUCUAGUUAAGACCGGUCAUAUCUUGCCCAUAAGAAUGGUUACCACAAUUUGAUCUGUGAGCCUAAAAGGCUGCUGAUUCAUAUGUCUCAGCAUUUGAGUGGCAUUGCUUGCAAGCAAACUACGCAUUUCUUUAUAGUCGCUGCUGAAGGCUUCAAUAGGUGAAGGAAA
Molecule: unclassified non-coding RNA, 353 nt
Filed under: uncultured fungus
Lineage: Eukaryota; Fungi
Description: sequence contains ITS1
Source: RNAcentral